GCGUGUGCUGUGUGUAAGGGGCUGGGAGGGCUCAGCGGGGAGCGCGGAGGCCGCUUUCUUUCAGGGCUCUGGGGUCCGUGCGCAGGGGCGGUGGUUCUGCGAGGAGCGCGCGGGCGCGGCGAGCCGGCUCAGGGUGGAGUGGGCUGCGCGCUUGCCGACCCCGGUGCCGGAGGCUCGCGGACGCCAUUCAACACGCCCCGGGCGGGUGUGCCUCGGGCCGGAAACCCACGGGGCAUUUCGGGGCCGCCACAUGCGUGACUGACGGGCGGAGCAUCCACGCCCCACCGCCCUGUCUAAACCGUUCGCGCCAGAAGCGCUACCCCGCCGUCUCCGGCCGGCUCUUCGCUCUGCAGCCAGCGGACAAAGAAAACGGGAGUGACGGUGGCCCCGACACGCUGCCCACGUUAGGGAAGGGGUAGCCUCGUGUGCCCGAGCUGGGUCCGGGCAGGGUCCCUGCGGGCCCGGCUGUGGUCAAAACCCGGAGGUCUGAGCACUUCCCGAUCCGGAAGGCUCGGCGGCGCCCACACUCAGUCAGGGCAUGCUCAGUCGCAGAGCAGGUUUUCGGGCUUGGAAGUAGGAAGCUUUUGCACCACACACCCACACUCCGGCUCAAAUUACCUCGCCCAGACUCCGCACUCAUUGGUCCCGGGGCGCGAGUCUCACACCCCCAAAUGUUCUCCCAUUGGCUACCGCCAAGGUUUUAUCAGUUUAGGCUGCUUCAUUGGCUGAAAAGUAGCCUGCGCUCGCUAUUGGUUAUUUAUAGAGAUUGAGCUGCGAGGCGGAGGCACAGCUGUUCUUUCUCCGCGGCUCCCCCGCCCUCUUCCUCCCACUUUCCCUACCCAGUCGUUUCGAAGCUAAAGUGAAAAAACAGGAGGAAUUUAGGCGGAGAGCUCAGACCUAAAUAUAGUUCUUUGUUAGUGUUUUCGAGAGAGUCUGACUUCUCGUGCCCAGUCACGACCGUCCCUUAAAGGGAGCAGAAAGGGCUAAUUACAGUUUUGAGUCCGCAAGAAACCACAAAGUUUCCAAGUUUUUUGCACGGAGGGGGAUGGGGCUAGGAUGAGAAAUGGGCCUUGGAAUUCGUGUCCCCCGGAGGGGUCGGGGGAAGGUCCAGGCUUGCUCCGUAGGAAGCGUCUCUGCUGUCGGGCGGGCAGUUGCUAGACUUGGCUCGUCCCGUGCUCGCGGGAGGUGAGAGCGCGAUGCCUCGACUUGUUCUGAGUCUCUCUCGCCAAGGAGAGACGUCAAGACCUGUCUGCAGACUUAGCGCUGGCAGCGGGGGAGCUCCAGGGCGAAGGGGCUGGGAAGGCCACCGAGCUGCGUCGACCCUGGCUCGGUGUCCUGCCUUUCUUAGCCGCUGCCCCUGCCCGCUGGUUUGACCGGCAGCAUCAGAGGGAUGAGCCCGGCAGUGUGUUUUCAGUUCCUAGUCCUGCCGUGACUCACUGCUGCGUUUGACAGUCAGCCUUCUCCAAACUCCUGGUUAAGGCUCCCAAGGUGCGAGCCCGCAGCUUGACGUCCUUGGGCACCCGGCCAGGAGGGACGUGGGCAGCAGCAGAUUCCUUGGGUGAGGUGGGUGGUGCUUGCCCCCGCACCCAGUCCCUCGGGUUAGCGGAGAGAGGGCUUCCACCUUGACUGUCAGAGUGCUUGGAUAUAAUUAUGCUUAUAUAAUUCUCCAGAAAACCUCUCGGAGGCAAAGUCACCUAAUACAGCUGAGGAGAACCUUGUCAACAUGUAACCAAUCCUUAAUAUCUGCCAAGUGUUUUACAUGUACUGUUACUCUCUGCAAAAUAAUUACACCCAUUUUAAAGAUGAGGAAACUGAGGCCCUGAAAUGAUCAGUAACUUGCCUGAGAUGUCACAGCUAGAAAGUGGACGAGAUACCAAAGCUGCCAGUGGAUAAACCCUUUCACUGAAGAAGACUUAACAUUUCCAGAUAACAUGAAAAAGGAUUUCUGGAAAACAAUCUAAGCACUAGAUCAAAGCAGCCCCCUUUUCUUCUGAAGAAACAACAGUCUACCAUUUCCCCUGAUGCACAAUCGAAGCCUAUCACCCCUUCUGCAGCAGUGGCUCCAGAGAACAUCAGUAAAGAUGGUGAGACUGAAAUCCAAGCAAUAGGAUGUCCUCUGAAAGAGAUUUCUGAGGGAAGGGCAGAGGAGUCCGAGAACACUGGUGGCAAAUCUGAGUAAGCAUCCUCCCUGUCCAACAGGAGAGAAGAGCCAAGAAAGCCAAGGGGAAGCCAGCUGCCAUUUCUUCCAGACAUCACGCAACCCUGUGGAGAGGACCAAGUGACAGGGCAGUGAGAUCCUUGUUCCAACUGGUGAGAGAAACUGAGGCCUGCCAACAAUCAAGAAGAUGAACCUGGAAGCUAAUCCUGCAGCAUUCAAAUGACUACUGGCCUAGCUGACAGCUUGACUGCAAUCUCAUGAGAGACCCUGAGCCAGAACCACCCAGCUAAGCUGCCGCAGAGUCCUGGCCCUCAGAAACUGUGUGAGACAAAUGUGUUUUGUUUUAAGCUGCUAAGUUUUUGAGUAACCUGUUAUACAGCAAUAGAUAACUAAUACAACUUCUUUAAACUUCACUAUCCUAUAUCUCUAAAUUGGGUAUAUAAAUGACUGUUGUGAGGAUGAUAAAACAAUGUAUGUGAAAUUGCCUACUGCUGUUCCUGAAAAAUAAUAAAGGCAUAAAAUAUGUCAUUUUGACAAAUAUUAUUUGUUCAUGAUCAUUUUCACAUUUACCUUUUUCAGAACUCUUUUAUUUGUUUAAGAUUGGCAGAAUUUUUUAAAAAAAUACCUUUGCCCUUUGUUCUUCACUGGAACUAGUGUAGAAUACAGGUCAUUGUACACAGCUGGCUCUGUGACAUGGCCUCGGCACUCUGCUGCAGUGAAGAUGGUUUUGUUAUUUAAGGUCACUUGUGUUUAAUAAUGAAUGUCUUGCCCAGAGUGCUGAAUGGUAGUGUCCGAUGUGUAUCUAACAGGCUCACAACUAAAUAAAAUAUUUCUCUAUUGAUGCAAAUAGGUCCUGUCUUCUACUAGAACGCCUCGAGUCAUUUUAAUAUACCCCACUGGGGGAAUGCAUAUCUGUUACUGAAUCACUGAUACAGGGAGUACGUGGCAGAGAUUCUGUCUGCCACACACUCUGCAGAGUUUUCCAGUCUUAUUUUGCUUUGUCUCUAGACCUUUGCUCCUUUCCAUUGCCCCAUAAAUUUCUAAUCACAACUGCUGCCAGAUUUGCUAUGUAGCCUCAGAUCAUCUCUGUUGUUCUUUUUGCUUUUUAAAAAUUACUUCCUUAUUUCAUAUCUCAUGCUACUU
Molecule: non-coding RNA, 3301 nt
Organism: Microcebus murinus (gray mouse lemur)
Lineage: Eukaryota; Metazoa; Chordata; Mammalia; Primates; Cheirogaleidae
Source: RefSeq, a predicted model, not a curated record